RNAcentral lists this ribosomal RNA (2144 nucleotides) under human gut metagenome. RNAcentral's name for it is "bacterial LSU rRNA". It matches the Rfam family "Bacterial large subunit ribosomal RNA", at positions 14 to 2251 of the family's 2925-position model. The record is from RNAcentral.
AGGGCGCAAGGUGAAUGCCUUGGCACUGGGAGCCGAUGAAAGACGUGGUAAGCUGCGAAAAGCUUCGGGGAGGAGCAAACAUCCAUUGAUCCGGAGAUAUCUGAAUGGGGCAACCCAAUGGAGUUCAUACUCCAUUAUCCAAUACUGAAUCCAUAGGUAUUGGAAGGGAACCGCCUGAACUGAAACAUCUAAGUAGGGCGAGGAAGAGACAUCAAACGAGAUUCCGUAAGUAGUGGCGAGCGAACGCGGAAGAGGGCAAACCGAGAGGAGAAAUCCUUUCGGGGUACGGACUGCUUUUAGGACUGGAAGAGUUAACAGAAUGGCAUGGGAAGGCCAACCGAAGAGUGUGAGAGUCACGUAAGUAAAAAUUCUGACAGCUGCGCAGGAUCCAGAGUACGGCCAGACACGUGAAACCUGGUCGGAACACGGGGGGACCACCCUCCAACCCUAAAUACUACCCAGUGACCGAUAGCGUAUAGUACUGUGAAGGAAAGGUGAAAAGGACCCCGGGAGGGGAGUGAAAGAGAACCUGAAACCUUGUGCCUACAAGCACAUAGAGCCCGUCAAAGGGUGAUAUGGUACUUUUUGUAGAACGGUCCGGCGAGCGAUUGUACGUUGCGAGCUUAAGGUCUUAAGGACUGGAGGCGUAGCGAGAGCGAGUCUAAACAGGGCGUUUAGUAGCGUGCAAUGGGCCCGAAACCGGGUGACCUACCCAUGAUCAGGCUGAAGUGAAAGUAAAAUUUCAUGGAGGGCCGAACCGACCUCCGUUGAAAAGGCGGCGGAUGAAUUGUGGGUAGCGGAGAAAUUCCAAUCGAACUCGGAGAUAGCUGGUUCUCCCCGAAAUAGCUUUAGGGCUAGCCUCAUGUUAGAUAUCCGGAGGUAAAGCACUGAAUGGCCUAGCGUCCGAGAGGAUAGCGAAGCCUAUCAAACUAAGAAUGCCGGAAUAUUGAUGCAUGGGAGUCAGACAGUGUGAGAUAAAUCUCAUUGUCAAAAGGGAAACAGCCCAGAUCUACAGCUAAGGUCCCAAAUUGUAUCUAAGUGGAAAACGAUGUGGAAAUACGCAGACAACCAGGAUGUUGGCUCAGAAGCAGCCACUCAUUUAAAGAGUGCGUAAUAGCUCACUGGUCGAGCGUCUCUGCGCGGAAAAUUUAACGGGGCUAAGAUACAAACCGAAGCUUAGGCUGCAUACGGAAGUAUGCGGGGUAGGGGAGCGUUGUGUAAGCGGAGAAACAGUAGCGUAAGCGGCUGUGGAGUUUACAGAAGUGAGAAUGCCGGAAUGAGUAGCGCGAAUGAUGUGAGAAUCAUCAUGGCCGGAAACCUCAGGUUUUUGGAGGAAGGUUCGUCCGCUCCAAGUUAGGCGGGAGCUAAGGUGAGGCCGAAAGGCGUAGCCGAUGCACAGACGGUAGAGAUUCCGUCCCCACCGAAAGAUUUAAGCGCAGGGACACUUUUAGAAGGUCGGAGCCAGGUGUUGGUUCUGGUAGAGAUCGAGGGAAAUUAAGUACCGAAGUCCGGCUGGAUAAGAGGCGAGAAAAGCUGCGUGUAUAUCUAAGGUGCCCGUACCGCAAACCGACACAGGUAGGUAGGAAGAAGAUUCUAAGGCCAACGGGAGAAGGGUUGUUAAGGAACUCGGCAAAUUGACCCCGUAACUUCGGGAGAAGGGGUGCUCCAGAGAUGGAGCCGCAGAGAAUCGGCCCAAGCAACUGUUUACCAAAAACACAGGUUUGUGCUAAAUCGAAAGAUGACGUAUACGAGCUGACGCCUGCCCGGUGCUGGAAGGUUAAAAGGAGAUGUGCAAGCAUUGAAUUGAAGCCCCAGUGAACGGCGGCCGUAACUAUAACGGUCCUAAGGUAGCGAAAUUCCUUGUCAGGUAAGUUCUGACCCGCAUGAAAGGCGUAAUGAUUUGGGCACUGUCUCAACAGCCCGCCCGGCGAAAUUGUAGUACCGGUGAAGAUGCCGGUUACCCGCGACAAGACGGAAAGACCCCAUGGAGCUUUACUGUAGCCUAAUAUUGGGUUUCGAUGUUGCAUGCACAGGAUAGAUGGGACACUGGGAAGCAGGUGCUUUGGCGCUUGUGGAGUGGCCGUUGGGAUACCAUCCUUGCGAUAUUGGAAUUCUAACCUGCGCCUUUGAAUCAAGGCGGGGGA